RNA transcript from Panicum virgatum (switchgrass), 2479 nucleotides. It is a transcript of the gene named fructokinase-like 2, chloroplastic, with no coding region annotated. The record is from RefSeq and is a predicted model, not a curated record. NCBI's taxonomy places the organism in Eukaryota, Viridiplantae, Streptophyta, Magnoliopsida, Poales, Poaceae. The transcript has 8 exons.
GUUUUGCUGUCCCUCGCUGGUGAGCGCUGAACAGACCAGUCGCGCUUCUCCCUGUCCCAGGAGGAGCUGCGAGGAUUUUUGCGACUCCCCUCCAUUGAUGGCUUCUCUUCUUCUCCCUCCGCAGCUCACUUGUUCCCUGCCCUCUUGUCAUCGCAUCAGGAGUCAAAUACAUUACAAGACAAACAUUUUGGGGAAGAACAUGGCUAAGCCUACAUUGCGGUUGCUUAACCGAACUGUGAAUGCUGCGUCAAGGACUUCUCAAAAUGCUGUGGAAGGUUCAAGUGAUGAAGAUAGUGACAGUGAAACUUCAACUAAAAAGAAAAGAGCUCCAAGUCGCGGGAAAAAGAAAGCCACCACAGAAACAUUGGAAGGUGAAAGAAAAGAAAGCCAAAUAAGCUCUGAACAAGAAUCCCCUGAAGAGACCAAGAAAGUUAAGAGGCGAGGCCGUAAGAAAGCUGCUACUACUGCAAGCUCAGAGGAGGGGAUGGACAAGGCAAAGGAGCCAAAGAAGAGGGGAAGAAGAAAAGAUAAGACUACAGAGGAAUCUAGUGACAAUGAAGGAGAUGACCAGGGCAAAGAUCUGAUGCCCUCUAAUGAAAGAGAAGAUCAGACUGUGAUAAAGAAUUUGGCCAAUGACCUGGAAACUAAAAUAGAGUUAGCAUUGCAUGAAGAUAUUGGAGAGGUUGAUAGUUUAAUGCCACUAGUGUGCUGCUUUGGACCUGCUAAAUACUCAUUUAUUCCUUCUGGGAGACCUGCUAAUAGGCUGAUAGAUCAUGAGAUUCAUGAUAGAAUGAAGGACAUGUUUUGGUCUCCAGAUAAAUUUAUGAGGGCACCUGGAGGGCCUUCAUCCAAUGUUGCUCUAGCUUUAGCAGCGAUUGGUGGCAGGGUUGCAUUCAUGGGAAAAUUAGGUGAUGAUGAGUAUGGUCAAAGUUUGCUGUACUACUUAAACAUCAAUGGAGUUCAAACACGAGCAGUCUGUAUGGACCCUUCAGCACCAACUGCCAUGUCCUUGAUGAAGGUCACAAGCAAAGGCAGUCUGAAGGCAAACUGUGUUAAACCAUGCGCUGAGGAUUGUUUUCUGCAGUCUGAUAUCAACCCAGCAGUUCUAAAGGAGGCUAAGAUGUUUUACUAUAAUUCAUCAGCUUUGCUUGAGCCCACUACACGGUCAUCAUUGUUAAAAGCCAUUGAUGUUUCAAAGAAAUUUGGUGGUAUAAUAUUCUUUGAUCUUAAUCUUCCACUUCCACUAUGGUCAUCCAGUAAGGAAACCAUGUCACUCAUCACGGAGGCAUGGGAAGCUGCCAAUAUUAUUGAAGUCACGAAACAAGAACUCGAGUUUCUCUGCGAUAUUAAACCAUCUGAGAAAUUUGACACAAAUGAUAAUAAUAAGUCCAAAUUUACACACUACAGUCCAGAAGUUAUUAUGAAAUUGUGGCAUGAUAAUCUCAAGGUCCUCUUUGUGACAAACGGUACCUCCAAGAUUCACUAUUACACAGAAAAGCACAAUGGCUGGGUUCGUGGGACAGAAGAUGCACCGAUCACUCCUUUCACCAGUGAAAUGUCACAAUCGGGUGAUGCCAUUGUUGCAGCCCUCAUAAGGAUGCUGGCAAUUAACCCUCACCUGGUCACAGACAAGGUUUACCUGCACAAGGCAGUCAAACAUGCUAUUAAAUGUGGUGUCAUCGAUCAGUGGGUGCUUGCACGAGAGCGGGGCUUCCUUCCGAAAGAGAGAGCAGAUCCAACCAGUGAGCAAUAUGAAGUGAGGUUCAUCACAGAGAGGGAAUACCGCACACUUCCUGAUGCGUUGCAAUCAGAAAACUCGUCAACCAGUGAACUUGCAUACGUGGAGUGAAAAAGGAGCGGCUAUAUACUGGAUUCCUAUAUUUAUUAUGGGAACUGGCCUGGCUGCGGUAGCUGAAGUUGGGAUUCAUAACUAUUAGCAUAAACCUGCAGUUUUUAGGUUUGUUGAGUAUAGGCUAAUAGCCUCAAAAAUCGCUGCCAUAUGGAGUCACUAAUAACCAUGGAAUGGAGCCCCUUUGAUGUUAUCAGCUAUGCUUUUCGUUAUCCAGCAUAUCUAUGUAACAGAACUGAGCAGCGUGUUUCUUUUUCAGUUGCAACAAGGCAUGAAGGAUACAUGUCCUUGUCUCACAAUUGUGCAUCACUGAAUGGGGUGAACAUGGAGGACUCGUAACUCUUCAAGCAGAGUGAUAUGUUUGAAGAUCAGAUAGCUAGCUUGACUUGGCCGUGUACUUUACCUCCUGGUUGGUCGGUGGAGUGGGAUACGACUCCGGCCAACAAUGACAAUGCCGAGUGAUGUCAUGUACGGGCUUCAUCAUGACAUCUUGUGUCGUCGUUUAGAACUCGCUUUAUUUCCGCUGUAGUUGAACACUGAACUACUUUCAAUUUGAACUUCAAGUACCUUUCUGAGAUUUCGAACUUGGUUUGUAAUAAUUAAGUUAAGACUCUGUAAUGUAAUGUAUUU